GAUGAACGCUAGCUACAGGCUUAACACAUGCAAGUCGUGGGGCAGCGGAUACUUAGCUUGCUAAGUAUGCCGGCGACCGGCGCACGGGUGAGUAACGCGUACCGAACCUGCCCAUCACACAGGGAUAGGCUUGCGAAAGCAAGACUAAUAACUGAUGGUCUCAAUUUUAUGCAUGUUGGAAUGAGUAAAGCCUUCGGGCGGUGAUGGAUGGCGGUGCGUCCCUUUAGGAAGUGGGCGGGGUAACGGCCCACCAAGCCUUCGAUGGGUAGGGGUUCUGAGAGGAAGGUGGCCCGCAUGGGGACUGAGGUACGGUGCAAACGCCUACGGGAGGCAGCAGUGAGGAAUAGUAGUCAAUGGGAGAGAGCCUGAACCAGCCAAGUAGCGUGCCGGAUGCAGGGCCUUGCGGUCGUAAGCCGCUGUUAUCAGUGAAGAAAGUGCACGACGUGUAGUGUGAUUGCCGGUAGCUGAAGAAGAAGGACCGGCUAAUUCCGUG
Molecule: ribosomal RNA, 493 nt
Filed under: uncultured bacterium
Lineage: Bacteria
Description: partial 16S ribosomal RNA
Rfam family: Bacterial small subunit ribosomal RNA
Source: RNAcentral